This is a long non-coding RNA of Dreissena polymorpha, 7214 nucleotides long. RefSeq lists it as uncharacterized. Lineage: Eukaryota; Metazoa; Mollusca; Bivalvia; Myida; Dreissenidae. The transcript has 2 exons. The record is from RefSeq and is a predicted model, not a curated record.
AGUGCUUUAAAGCUUUUGAUAACAAAAAAUAAGGGAAUUAUAUAAAUGCAAUAAGUAUGAUUUGUGAGAUUUAUUUCUUAAGGAUAAAUGCAGUUAUAUACAGGGAUUCAUUUAUAAGUUUAUAACACAAUAAAAAUUAAUAGUGUUUUUUUUGUUCAAGUAGGGUUUCUUGUUUUAUUUCUUUGUUGUAAAUGGCAUGUCAUAUCAGAGUUUUUCUUAUGUAUUUCCAUGUAAACCAUGUAAAGAGCAUUCACGUAAUAAUCUGAUGUUUACAUGUGCUAUAUUUGCUAUCUAUUUCGACAGAAGUUUAAAUAGGGAAAAAAAGAAAACAUUAUAACAGUUUAUAUAAAAAUCUGAUCAUUUCUCUAUCUGUAUGCAUCCUUUCAAGAAGGCAGCAUACAGCAGUCACACUGUUGGUCUUUCUUUAUUUACGCCUGGGUGAUGUUUCCUAUCUUAUCCAUAACUUUGCCUUAAGAUUGCCGUGGUGUAGUGGAUAUGGUGUCCGCCUAGCGAUCGGGAGGUCAUGGGUUCAAUCCCCACUGUGGGAGCGUUCUUUAGAUCUCCCGCAAAGACACCAAGAAAACGGACUCAAGAGUGUUUCAUAUAAGCUUAGGCUUGUUAUGCAAUCGAGCUUAAAUAAAUAGGUUUAAAAGAAAAAUUUAAAAAAAUUGCCAUAUAACUUUUUGAUUGUAUAUGACUUAUUAAUUGCCACUCAAGUCCACCAUCCUAUAACAACAUGUCCCAUGUAACAACUGUCUCCUAAAAAAUUAAACAGUCCAGGCCACACUUAUAUGUCAAGGCCAAACUUAUAGGUCAAGACCACACUUAUAGGUCAAGGCCACACUUAUAGCUCAAGGCCAUACUUAUAGAUCAAGGCCACACUUAUAGAUCAAGGCCACACUUAUAGGUCAAGGCCACACUUAUAGAUCAAUGCCACACUUAUAGAUCAAGGCCACACUUAUAGAUCAAGGUCACACUUAUAGGUCAAUGCCACACUUAAAGGUCAAAGGCCAAAUAUGGCUUUAAAACAGGUUUUACAAUUUUUGUCUCUGGCAUACAUUUCCUAUAUAUUGAUGGAUGUUAAAACUUGGCAUAAAGGCAAUCCAUUAUACAACAACAAGCCAGUCUUCUCUCUACCUCAAAGGUCAAGGUGAAGGUUAGAGAUCAAGUUGGCAAUAAAACAACUUGUCCAGUCUGUUGUGUUGUCAUUCUUCAUGCAAUUUAAAAAUAACCACAAUUGACCACAUUAAGUACUGGCUGUUGCAUGUAUCACUUGUCUUAUUGACUAAGGUUCAAGGUCAUACUGAAAGGUCAAAAGUCAAGAUUGGCAAUACACAGCAUGUUUGGGAUUAAGUGGAGUUUUAAAACAAAAGUGGAAUGUGGGGGCAUCCCUGCCAUAUGGAUACAUGGCUUGUCUGUUACUAGAUCAUAGUUUUGUUAUGUGUGUUCCCACUCAAAAUUCUGUUUGUCAAUCUAAUUGCUAAAUGAGUUAUCUCAGGCACAGGAGAUUUUUUUUGAUUUUUUAAACAAAUAUGACUUUUGUGUGAUACUGUGUAUACUGUGUAAUAUAUUUUGUGCAUUAUAUUAAUAUGUACACAGUUUGUGAUAUUUUUUGUGAAGUUUGUGGGUUUUUUUUGUAUUUAUUAUGUGAUAUGUGAUGUGAUAAAAAAUUUAUAUUUUCUUCCAGUUCUAUAUGUUAAACUGGAAGGAACUUUUCCAACCUAUAUCAUUCUGCUCAACUGAAAUUGCGUUUACAAUCACAUGAACUUUGGUAUACAGAUUAAUCCUUUGCAUGCUGGGAAAUUUUUGUCUGCUAAAAUAUCAUCUUCUGAAUUUUUAAAAUUAGCAUUUUCUUCGAUUUUUCUUCAGAAUAGCAAACAGUUUGGAUCCUGAUGAGACGCCAUGUUCUGUGGUGUCUCAUCUGGAUCCAAACUGUUUGCAAAGUCCUUUAAAAUUCGGUUCCAGAGCUGAAAGGGUUAAAUGUUGCAACAGGGGGUUCUACUGACCUUUCAUUUGAAACAGGUCAAGUGCUGCACCUGUAAAUGUAUAUGUUCAAAGGAAAGAUAUUGUUGGAUUUGUAUAUGAAGUCUAUAAAAAAAAAUUUUUUAAUCCAGUAUGCAUAGUUUUUAAUGCUUUGUUCAUUUAUAGUUAUUGUUUGUCUACUAUUUUCAAUAGAUAUGGCAUUUUUACAAUCAUUCAUAUUUUCUUAUGUUAUUUAAUAUUUAUUAUUCCACGCCAAAGGCAGAGGGAUAUAGAUUGGGAUGAUCUGUAAGUUUGUUAAUCUGUCUGUCCGUCAGUCUGUUAAUACGCCGUCUGUCAUAAACAUUCCAGAGCUAGAUCUCAGAAACUAUAUAAGGUAUCCACAUGCAGCUUCAUAGUUGUAUAUGAGUUGUGUUCUGAGAAAACUGGGCAUAAUGCAUGUGUGUAAAGUGUCAUCCCAGAUUAGCCUGUGCAGACUAAUCAGGAACUACAUUUUCCGCCUAAAUAAGAUGUUUGCUAAGAAGAUACUUCAUUUAAAUGACAAAUGUCAUAAGAGAGGAAAGUGUCGCCACUGAUUAGCCUGUGCAGACUGCACAGGCUUAUCUGGGACAACACUUAACACAUAUGCAUUAUGCCCAGUUUUCUCAGAACACGACUCAUAUUGUUUAGAAGUGCCAUGCACAAGAACCAUAUCCCUACACUUUCUGAUAUAAGAGUUAUUGCCCUUUGUUUUCUGAAUGGUGUAGUUUUUAGGGCUAUAUAUCUCAGAUACAAUACAAGAUUUCAACAUGAAAGGGUGCAUUGAUAUCAAUGAAGAGAAGGUGCAUUGAUAUCAAUGAAGAGAAGUUCCAUGCUUAAAAACCAGUUAAAAGAGUUAUUGCUCUUUGUUGUUUUUGUAUGAUGUAACUUUAAAGGACUAUAUCUCAGAUAAGACACAGUGUUUCAACAUCAAAUUUCAAGCGUGUAUAGAUAUCAAUAAGGAGAAUUGCCUGGCACCAUAAUCGUUACCAUACUCUUUCUAAAAUAAGAGUUAUUGCCCUUUGUUGUUUUUUUAUGAUGUAACAUUUCAGGGCUAUAUCUCAGAUACACUACAAGAUUUCUACAUGAAACUUCAUGGGUGUAUGGAUUGCAAUGAAGAGCAUUGCAAUGCAUAAAAACAAUUACCCUUAAUUAUAUUAUUCUUUUUAUGAUGUACCAGAUAUCAAGAGAUUGCACCCAUCCAUAAACAAAAUGUUUGGUGGGGGAUAUCAAUUAAAUGAAUUUGCUUGUAAUUAUAUUUUCAAUUGUUUUACUAUUUUCUUUAUCCAGAGCAUAUUAACUUCUUUUGAUAUUGACUGAUGAUAUUAAAUAUGUAUUUAAUUGAUUUUCAAUUUUCAUAAAUCAUGAUAUUGUAUUCAAGCUCAAUAUUAUAUAAAAUCUAUACAGUUCUGUGUAUUUUUGAAACGUUUACAUAUGUUUAUUGUUAAAGAUAUACAUGCCUCAGAACUCAAAUUGAUAUUUAACAACUUUACAUGAUUGUUGUUUCCUUUAUGCAUUAUUAUUUAUGUUCCCUCAUAUAUAAUGCAUUUGGUAUUUGUUUUUUUGUAAUUAAUGCCAAUGUCUCUUUUUAAUUAACAGGUUAAGACAUUAAAUAUUUCAAUUUAAAUAUAUUUAAAUAAUGGUGAUUUUUGUAUAUCAGUGUUAAAGUGCAUGUGUUUAGAACCUAUUAUUUAUGAAAACAGUUUUUUAAUUUGUAUCCCUUUAAAUUAGUUGUAAUAUGUUGUGGUAUGUAGGUAUAGUAUUCCUUCAUUUGUACAAUAUUGAAUUUACUUACAACAAAACAAUUAAGUCUUCUACUUUUUUAUGAAGUUCAUUAAAUGAAUGCUCUUUUGGUCUAAACAGCUUUGUUAAAGUCUUGUAUGCAUGAUUGCAGACAACUGAAAUUUUUGCUGUAUUUGAUAGUAUGUGAUAAUGCAUUUAUGUAAUUUAUUUUCUAUGAUUUUUGCAAACUCAUUCAUUAUUCCACCACUUGAUAAGGAGGGAGGGGGAAUGUAAUCUUGCAAACCUCCAUAUUUUGGUUUGAAUAUUUUCAGCUGAACCCUUUACCACUAAGAUACUUAUUUUUACAUGUACACAUUUGGUCCCUUAGAAAGUUAAAUUUCAUUAAAGACCUUUCUUACUAGAUUCAAGUUUUAAAGGCUUCAUUUCAUGAGCAGCAAACAGCAUAAAACCUGAACAGACUGCGAGUCACUCACAGGCUGUUCUGGUUUUAUGUUGGUUGCAAAAGACAUUUUCACUUCUGAUAUGGGAAAGGGUUACACAAGGUCUAGGAAAUAAUAUCAUGUUAAACUUGUGUUCGCUGUAACUAAAAAACAUUGCUGCUACAGGACUGAAACAUUGCAUACAUAGCAACCAGCAUGUGAACUUUGGCGCCCCACAUAUUUGUUCGCUAGUUCUUGACACAACUGGACCCAUCUUCACCAAACAAUUCUUAGACUUAAGUCUUAGGAUAAAAAAUAUUCUUUAAAUUGAUAUAUUAAAGAAUUGCUUGAAUUUUGAGUGAAACUUGGCAUUAAACACCUCUAUCUAUAUCAUUCUUCAUGUAGAACAUUUUGUUCAUGACAUCAUCACCAGCUGAGGCCUGUAUAAAUUCAAACACUGAAUGCAUUUUCUUGGUUCAAAGUCUAUUUGUUAUCCUUAAGUCUAAGAAUGGGUUGGUGAAUACGAGCCCGGCGUAAUCCCCACCCUUGAAUCAUUCUGAAGAUUAUCUAUAAAACACCAAGAACUGGUUGUUCUAAGGACUUUAGAGUCUGAAUAAGGGCAAGGCUGUUAAGGGAAUCAAGCUCAAUUUAUUAGUUUUAAGAAAACUCACACCAAAAUGUGCAAUUAAUUGGUUUAAAUUGUUACAUUGACACUUGAAAUUAGCCGUCCCCAGUUAAGUGUAAGUCUUAAGUCAGAAUGGGUCAGUGUAUACGGGCCCGGUAGGUAUAGCCCCUUUUGGGGAAUCAGUGUCCUGCUUGCACAUAUGUAGUUGCACUUGCUUGACGCAGACUGUGCAGGCUUAUGUGGGACAACACUUUUCCCAGAGCAAGGCUCAAAGAAGCUUAUUGUAUUGAAUUGUAUGGUUGUCUGUAUUGUAUUGAAGUGUAUGGUUGUCUAUAUUGUAUUGAAUUGUAUGGUUGUCUGUGUUGUAUUGAAUUGUAUGGUUGUCUAUAUGUUGUAUUGAAUUGUAUGGUUGUCUGUGUUGUAUUGAAGUGUAUGGUUGUCUGUGUUGUAUUGAAUUGUAUGGUUGUCUGUAUUGUAUUGAAUUGUAUGGUUGUCUGUGUGGAAUUGAAUUGUAUGAUUGUCUGUAUUGUAUUGAAUUGUAUGGUUGUCUGUAUGGUAUUGAAUUGUAUGGUUGUCUGUAUUGUAUUGAAUUAUAUGGGUUGUCUGUGUGGUAUUGAAUUGAAUUGUAUGCUUGUCUGUAUUGUAUUGAAUUAUAUGGUUGUCUGUGUGGUAUUGAAUUGUAUGGUUGUCUGUAUUGUAUUGAAUUGUAUGGUUGUCUGUGUGGUAUUGAAUUGUAUGGUUGUCUAUAUUUGUUGUAUUGAAUUGUAUGGUUAUCUAUAUUUUUCAUUGAAUUGUAUGGUUGUCUAUAUUUGUUUUAUUAAAUUGUAUGGUUGUCUGUGUUGUAUUGAAUUGUAUGGUUUUCUAUAUUUUUAUACACUUUUUUACAUGUGUAAACAAUCAAACACGUUGAAACAAUCUUGGAAAAAUGCUAUAAUUAUUGCAUGAUAAUUAUUUAUGAAAAUAAUUUUAUUGAUAUAUAAAAAAGAUAAAAUGAAAUGUGUAUCUGGAGAAAUGGUUUUACUAAAUAUAUGUGUUUUUUAUUGUCUGUUUAGUAAUGUCAUAUUACUCUUUGUAAAGAUCUUGUUUACAUAUAUACAUAAACAAAAUAAUUUCUAUGUCUAUAAAUGUAUUUGUUUAUACUCAACCUUAUUUAUUAAUGAUGAAAUAUACAUUAAUCAAUAUGAUUAGUUUACAUUCAUACUCAAAUUGAUGUUUAAGAAGCUAAUAAUAUUAGGACAAUCAUUCUUAUUUAAGUUUAUACUAGCUGUGUAUUUAAAUCAACUUCUCAAUAACAGGUUGAAUUACGCUACUCACCUAUUUGUUGGCAUCAUCUUGAAAACCUAUGCAGUUUGUAUGAAACUAAGGAAAUCUGCAACUGGUACAUAUAUUUUGCUGAAUGAACACUUAUAAUAUUUGUUGGAUCAUGAUUGUACAAGGUCACAUUGAUCAUGAUAAAGGUCACAUGGACCAUCAUACAAGGUCACAUGGACCAUCAUACAAGGUCACAUGGAUCAUCAUGCAAGGUCACAUGGAUCAUCAUACAAGGUCACAUGGAUCAUCAUACAAGGUCACAUGAAUCAUUAUACAAGGUCACGUGGAUCAUUAUACAAGGUCACAUGAAUCAUUAUACAAGGUCACAUUAACCGUCAUACUAGUUCACAUGGUUCAUGAUUCAAGGUCACACGGACCAUUAUACAAGGUCAUAUGGAUCAUUGUACAAGGUCACAUGUAUCAUGAUACAAGGUCACAUGUAUCAUGAUAUAAGGUCACAUUGAUCAUGAUACAAGGUCACAUGGAUCACAGAACUAGGUCAAAUGGAUUAUGAUACUAGGUCACAUGGACCAUCAUACAAGGUCACAUGGAUCAUGAUACAAGGUCACAUGGAUCACAGUUCAAGGUCACAUGGAUCACAGUUCAAGGUCACAUGGAUCAUGAUACAAGGUCACAUGGUUCAUGAAACAAGGUCAAAUUGAUCUGGAUACAAGAUCACAUUGUUCGAGAUACAAGGUCAAAUGGAUAAUGAUACAAGGUCACACUGAUUGUUACACAAGGUCACAUGAAUCAUAAUAUAAUGGAAGAUAAAUUGCCAGCUGUCAAGGAACCAAAACUGAUUUAUUAAUUUACACACAGAAGUCUUACUCGUGGUAAUAAAUGAGGAUUAUAUCUUAAAUAAGAUAGUUGACAGAGCAAUUUUUUACCGGUUUUUGGCAAUUUGUCAAUGUUAUCCUUGUCUCGGAAACGUACUGUAUCAGUGUACUUCAGACGUUCAAUAUAAAUUGCCCUUAAGGUUAUUAUUUUCAAACACUUAAUGAAAUAAGAGUAAAAAGUCGAGUGUACUGAGCAAAGGCUCUUUCUUGUUUCUUUUUUAAAUUUCUUUAUUAUUGUUUUUUUCUUAAUUCUGUAACAAAUAUACUUAUAUCUCAAAUGAA